CACACGACUCUCGGCAACGGAUAUCUCGGCUCUCGCAUCGAUGAAGAACGUAGCGAAAUGCGAUACCUGGUGUGAAUUGCAGAAUCCCGCGAACCAUCGAGUCUUUGAACGCAAGUUGCGCCCAAGGCCAUUCGGCUGAGGGCACGCCUGCCUGGGCGUCACG
This 163-nucleotide ribosomal RNA is filed under the name Lagurus ovatus. RNAcentral's name for it is "5.8S ribosomal RNA". It matches the Rfam family "5.8S ribosomal RNA". Rfam says of the family: 5.8S ribosomal RNA (5.8S rRNA) is a component of the large subunit of the eukaryotic ribosome. Lineage: Eukaryota; Viridiplantae; Streptophyta; Magnoliopsida; Poales; Poaceae. The record is from RNAcentral.